This 468-nucleotide ribosomal RNA is filed under the name uncultured bacterium. RNAcentral describes it as "partial 16S ribosomal RNA". It matches the Rfam family "Bacterial small subunit ribosomal RNA", at positions 28 to 507 of the family's 1533-position model. The record is from RNAcentral.
GACGAACGCUGGCGGCGUGCUUAACACAUGCAAGUCGAACGGAAAGGCCCUGCUUUUGUGGGGUGCUCGAGUGGCGAACGGGCGAGUAACACGUGAGUAACCUGCCCUUGACUUUGGGAUAACUUCAGGAAACUGGGGCUAAUACCGGAUAGGAGCUCCUGCUGCAUGGUGGGGGUUGGAAAGUUUCGGCGGUUGGGGAUGGACUCGCGGCUUAUCAGCUUGUUGGUGGGGUAGUGGCUUACCAAGGCUUUGACGGGUAGCCGGCCUGAGAGGGUGACCGGCCACAUUGGGACUGAGAUACGGCCCAGACUCCUACGGGAGGCAGCAGUGGGGAAUAUUGCACAAUGGGCGGAGGCCUGAUGCAGCAACGCCGCGUGCGGGAUGACGGCCUUCGGGUUGUAAACCGCUUUCGCCUGUGACGAAGCGUGAGUGACGGUAAUGGGUAAAGAAGCACCAGCUAACUACGUG